Molecule: ribosomal RNA, 484 nt
Filed under: uncultured bacterium
Lineage: Bacteria
Description: partial 16S ribosomal RNA
Rfam family: Bacterial small subunit ribosomal RNA
Source: RNAcentral
AUUGAACGCUGGCGGCAUGCUUUACACAUGCCAGUCGAACGGCAGCGCGGGCUUCGGCCUGGCGGCGAGUGGCGAACGGGUGAGUAAUGCAUCGGAACGUGCCCAGUAGUGGGGGAUAGCCCGGCGAAAGCCGGAUUAAUACCGCAUACGACCUGAGGGUGAAAGCGGGGGACCGAAAGGCCUCGCGCUAUUGGAGCGGCCGAUGUCGGAUUAGCUAGUUGGUGGGGUAAAGGCUUACCAAGGCGACGAUCCGUAGCUGGUCUGAGAGGACGACCAGCCACACUGGGACUGAGACACGGCCCAGACUCCUACGGGAGGCAACAGUGGGGAAUUUUGGACAAUGGGGGCAACCCUGAUCCAGCCAUGCCGCGUGCGGGAAGAAGGCCUUCGGGUUGUAAACCGCUUUUGUUCGGGAAGAAAUCCUCUGGGCUAAUACCCCGGGGGGAUGACGGUACCGGAAGAAUAAGCACCGGCUAACUACGUG